RNAcentral lists this unclassified non-coding RNA (19 nucleotides) under Mus musculus (house mouse). RNAcentral describes it as "oocyte_clustered_small_RNA4280". Lineage: Eukaryota; Metazoa; Chordata; Mammalia; Rodentia; Muridae. The record is from RNAcentral.
GAGAUGUCUCAAUGUUGGC